Molecule: non-coding RNA, 53 nt
Filed under: unclassified sequences
Description: Mu-gpT-DE RNA
Rfam family: Mu-gpT-DE RNA
Source: Rfam by way of RNAcentral
CCCUGACAGUCGCAUGGUGCGGCUGACAUUUGCCACGACAGGAGGCUCACAUG